Molecule: ribosomal RNA, 497 nt
Filed under: uncultured bacterium
Lineage: Bacteria
Description: partial 16S ribosomal RNA
Rfam family: Bacterial small subunit ribosomal RNA
Source: RNAcentral
GAUGAACGCUGGCGGCGUGCCUAAUACAUGCAAGUCGAGCGAACGGACGAGAAGCUUGCUUCUCUGAUGUUAGCGGCGGACGGGUGAGUAACACGUGGAUAACCUACCUAUAAGACUGGGAUAACUUCGGGAAACCGGAGCUAAUACCGGAUAAUAUUUUGAACCGCAUGGUUCAAAAGUGAAAGACGGUCUUGCUGUCACUUAUAGAUGGAUCCGCGCUGCAUUAGCUAGUUGGUAAGGUAACGGCUUACCAAGGCAACGAUGCAUAGCCGACCUGAGAGGGUGAUCGGCCACACUGGAACUGAGACACGGUCCAGACUCCUACGGGAGGCAGCAGUAGGGAAUCUUCCGCAAUGGGCGAAAGCCUGACGGAGCAACGCCGCGUGAGUGAUGAAGGUCUUCGGAUCGUAAAGCUCUGUUAUUAGGGAAGAACAUAUGUGUAAGUAACUGUGCGCAUCUUGACGGUACCUAAUCAGAAAGCCACGGCUAACUACGUG